Molecule: ribosomal RNA, 264 nt
Filed under: uncultured archaeon
Lineage: Archaea
Description: partial 16S ribosomal RNA
Rfam family: Archaeal small subunit ribosomal RNA
Source: RNAcentral
AGACGUCUACAUUAGAUACCCGGGUAGUCCCAGCCGUAAACUAUGCGCGUUAGGUGUAUCGGUGACCACGAGUCACCGAGGUGCCGAAGGGAAACCGUGAAACGUGCCGCCUGGGAAGUACGGUCGCAAGGCUGAAACUUAAAGGAAUUGGCGGGGAGCACCACAACGGGUGGAGCCUGCGGUUUAAUUGGACUCAACGCCGAGAAGAUCACCGGAUAAGACAGCGGAAUGAUUGCCGGGCUGAAGACUCUGCAUGACUAGCUG